AAAACAAAGGCUCCCACCUACGGGCGGGCGGUGGAUUCCGCCGGGGGUGGGGCACGGAAGGGGGCGAAGGGAAUUCCCGGCGUAGGGGUUAAAUGGGGCAGAAUUGAGGAGGACCACCAGUGGGGAGGCGCCUCGUUGGACGGUCCUGACGGUGAGCCCCGAAAGCUAGGGAGCGAACAGGAUUAGAUACCCUGGAGUCCUAGCGUAAACGAUGGACACUAGGUGUGGGGGAGUCGAAUCCGUGUGUGCCACAGCUAACGCGUUAAGUGUCCCGCCUGGGGAGUACGGCCGCAAGGCUAGACCUCAAAAGAAUAGUCGAAGGACCGCACAAGCAGCGGAGCAUGAUCUGUACUUCGAUGCAACGCGAAGAACCUGAGAUGGACUUGACAUGGUCUUGCAAGCGCACGCAAGCGCGUGACAUUGGAGGGCGCUGCACGGACGCCGCAGAUCUGUCAUCAGCUUGUCUAGUGAGAUCGUGGGAUAAGUGCGUCAGCGAGCCCACGACCGCAGCCCUGUUGCCGUCUUUCCAUCAGUAAGCUGGGGCCACACGCCAGACGACCGGCGGCAACCGGAGGAAGGUGGGGACGAGUCCACGUCAUCAUGGCUUUUCACGUCCAGGGCUAGAAACGCGCUACAAUGGCUGAUACAAAGGGUUGCAAGCCCGCAAGGUGGAGCGAAUCUCAUCAAAGUCAGUCUAAGUUCGGAUCGCAGUCUGCAACUCGACUGCGUGAAGGCGGAGUUGCUAGUAAUCGCGGAUCAGCAUGCCGCGGUGAAUACGUUCCCGGGCCUUGUACACACCGCCCGUCACACCACGAAAGUCGGCAAUACCCGAAGCAGGCGCAGCCAACCCCUUGUGGGAGGCGGUCUGCGAAGGUAGGGCUGGCGAUUGGGGUGAAGUCGUAACAAGGUAGCCGUACCUGAAGGUGCGGCUGGAUCACCUCUUAAAGGUUGGAUCCCC
This 958-nucleotide ribosomal RNA is filed under the name uncultured bacterium. RNAcentral describes it as "bacterial SSU rRNA". It matches the Rfam family "Bacterial small subunit ribosomal RNA", at positions 598 to 1533 of the family's 1533-position model. The record is from RNAcentral.